GAUGAACGCUGGCGGCGUGCCUAAUACAUGCAAGUCGAGCGAACGGACGAGAAGCUUGCUUCUCUGAUGUUAGCGGCGGACGGGUGAGUAACACGUGGAUAACCUACCUAUAAGACUGGGAUAACUUCGGGAAGCCGGAGCUAAUACCGGAUAAUAUUUUGAACCGCAUGGUUCAAAAGUGAAAGACGGUCUUGCUGUCACUUAUAGAUGGAUCCGCGCUGCAUUAGCUAGUUGGUAAGGUAACGGCUUACCAAGGCAACGAUGCAUAGCCGACCUGAGAGGGUGAUCGGCCACACUGGAACGGAGACACGGUCCAGACUCCUACGGGAGGCAGCAGUAGGGAAUCUUCCGCAAUGGGCGAAAGCCUGACGGAGCAACGCCGCGUGAGAGAUGAAGGACUUCGGAUCGUAAAACUCUGUUAUUAGGGAAGAACAUAUGUGUAAGUAACUGUGCACAUCUUGACGGUACCUAAUCAGAAAGCCACGGCUAACUACGUG
Molecule: ribosomal RNA, 497 nt
Filed under: uncultured bacterium
Lineage: Bacteria
Description: partial 16S ribosomal RNA
Rfam family: Bacterial small subunit ribosomal RNA
Source: RNAcentral